This 441-nucleotide ribosomal RNA is filed under the name Neoepitriptus setosulus. RNAcentral describes it as "partial small subunit ribosomal RNA". Lineage: Eukaryota; Metazoa; Arthropoda; Insecta; Diptera; Asilidae. The record is from RNAcentral.
UUUUAAAAUUAUUGUAGACUACUCUUUNUUAAUUUAUUUCAUAAAUUUUAAUUUUUAAACUAGGAUUAGAUACCCUAUUAUUUUAAUAUGUAUUUAUGUAUGCCUAGGUAGUAUUAGUUAUGGUCUUGAAACUUAAAAAAUUUGGCGGUAUUUUAGUCUUUUCAGAGGAACCUGUUCUGUAAUCGAUAGUCCACGCUGGAUCUUACUCAUCCUUGUAUAUCAGUUUGUAUACCGCCGUUAUUGAAUAUUUUAUUAGAAUAAUAAUUUUCAAUUACUUUUAUUAAAGUUUAUAUCAGGUCAAGGUGCAGCUUAUGGUUGAGGUUGAAAUGGGUUACAAUAAAUUUAUUUAUAUGGAUGUUAAUAUGAAUGUUUUAAUUGAAGGUGGAUUUGAUAGUAAAUUUAUUUAGAUAAAUAGUUUGAUUUUGGCUCUAAAAUAUGUAC